GACGAACGCUGGCGGCGUGCUUAACACAUGCAAGUCGAACGGUAAGGCUCCAGCUUGCUGGGGUACACGAGUGGCGAACGGGUGAGUAACACGUGGGUGACCUGCCCUGCACUUCGGGAUAAGCCUGGGAAACUGGGUCUAAUACCGGAUAGGACCGCACCGUGAGGGUGUGGUGGAAAGUUUUUUCGGUGUGGGAUGGGCCCGCGGCCUAUCAGCUUGUUGGUGGGGUAAUGGCCUACCAAGGCGGCGACGGGUAGCCGGCCUGAGAGGGUGGACGGCCACAUUGGGACUGAGACACGGCCCAGACUCCUACGGGAGGCAGCAGUGGGGAAUAUUGCACAAUGGGCGGAAGCCUGAUGCAGCGACGCCGCGUGGGGGAUGACGGCCUUCGGGUUGUAAACUCCUUUCACCAUCGACGAAGGGUUUCUGACGGUAGAUGGAGAAGAAGCACCGGCUAACUACGUGCCAGCAGCCGCGGUAAUACGUAGGGUGCGAGCGUUGUCCGGAAUUACUGGGCGUAAAGAGCUCGUAGGUGGUUUGUCGCGUCGUCUGUGAAAUUCCGGGGCUUAACUCCGGGCGUGCAGGCGAUACGGGCAUAACUUGAGUACUGUAGGGGAGACUGGAAUUCCUGGUGUAGCGGUGAAAUGCGCAGAUAUCAGGAGGAACACCGGUGGCGAAGGCGGGUCUCUGGGCAGUAACUGACGCUGAGGAGCGAAAGCAUGGGGAGCGAACAGGAUUAGAUACCCUGGUAGUCCAUGCCGUAAACGGUGGGCGCUAGGUGUGGGUUUCCUUCCACGGGAUCCGUGCCGUAGCUAACGCAUUAAGCGCCCCGCCUGGGGAGUACGGCCGCAAGGCUAAAACUCAAAGGAAUUGACGGGGGCCCGCACAAGCGGCGGAGCAUGUGGAUUAAUUCGAUGCAACGCGAAGAACCUUACCUGGGCUUGACAUAUACAGGAUCGCGCCAGAGAUGGUGUUUCCCUUGUGGCUUGUAUACAGGUGGUGCAUGGUUGUCGUCAGCUCGUGUCGUGAGAUGUUGGGUUAAGUCCCGCAACGAGCGCAACCCUUGUCUUAUGUUGCCAGCACGUUGUGGUGGGGACUCGUAAGAAACUGCCGGGGUUAACUCGGAGGAAGGUGGGGAUGACGUCAAAUCAUCAUGCCCCUUAUGUCCAGGGCUUCACACAUGCUACAAUGGUCGGUACAGUGGGUUGCCAGUCCGUGAGGGCGAGCUAAUCCCGCAAAGCCGGUCUCAGUUCGGAUCGGGGUCUGCAACUCGACCCCGUGAAGUCGGAGUCGCUAGUAAUCGCAGAUCAGCAACGCUGCGGUGGAUACGUUCCCGGGCCU
This 1341-nucleotide ribosomal RNA is filed under the name uncultured bacterium. RNAcentral's name for it is "partial 16S ribosomal RNA". It matches the Rfam family "Bacterial small subunit ribosomal RNA", at positions 28 to 1381 of the family's 1533-position model. The record is from RNAcentral.